Molecule: ribosomal RNA, 690 nt
Filed under: Bacteroidales bacterium
Lineage: Bacteria; Pseudomonadati; Bacteroidota; Bacteroidia; Bacteroidales
Description: partial 23S ribosomal RNA
Rfam family: Bacterial large subunit ribosomal RNA
Source: RNAcentral
GAGAAAGAGAACAAGAGCGAACGGAGGAUGCCUUGGCUUCCGAAAGCGAAGAAGGACGUGGUAAGCUGCGAAAAGCUCCGGGGAUCUGCAAACAGGAAUUGAUCCGGAGAUAUCCGAAUGGGGGAACCCAUACAGUUGAAGACUGUAUACCAUCCUUGGAUGGAGCGAACGCAGGGAACUGAAACAUCUUAGUACCUGCAGGAAAAGAAAGAAACAUCGAUUCCCGGAGUAGUGGCGAUCGAAACGGGAAGAGCCUAAACCGGUUGCGUUACGGCGCAGCCGGGGUUGUAGGACCAGCCAUAAAGAACAAGCUAGGAACCGGAACCGUCUGGAAAGUCGGUCCACAGAGGGUGAAAGGCCCGUACGGGUAACGGGGUUUGUUCGAGGUUGGCACCUGAGUAGGGCGGGACACGUGGAAUCCUGUCUGAAUCUGCGGCGACCAUGCCGCAAGGCUAAAUAUGAUCGGAAGACCGAUAGUGUACCAGUACCGUGAGGGAAAGGUGGGAAGCACCCCGAACAGGGGAGUGAAACAGAACCUGAAACCGUUCGUUUACAAGCGGUCGGAGCUCGCAAGAGCGACGGCGUGCCUUUUGCAUAAUGAGCCUACGAGUUGUUUCUUGCUGGCGAGGUUAAGUUCUUCAGGAACGUGAGCCGCAGCGAGAGCGAGUCUGAACAGGGCGUUCAGUCAGC